UAUCUCUGUAGAGUCUGCAUAUCAAUAAGCGGAGGAAAAGAAACUAACAAGGAUUCCCCUAGUAACGGCGAGUGAAGCGGGAAGAGCUCAAAUUUGAAAUCUUCAAGGUUUGACCUUGGCGAAUUGUAGUUUAAAGAAGUGUUUUCGGUUAGAGGAGUAGUAAAAGUUCUUUGGAAUAGGACAUCAUAGAGGGUGAGAAUCCCGUAUUUGACUAUUCUUUCUAGCUUUGUGAUACACUUUCAAAGAGUCGGAUUGUUUGGGAAUGCAGUCCAAAAUGGGUGGUAAAUUUCAUCUAAAGCUAAAUAUUGGCGAGAGACCGAUAGCGAACAAGUACCGUGAGGGAAAGAUGAAAAGAACUUUGAAAAGAGAGUUAAACAGUACGUGAAAUUGUCAAAAGGGAAGCGCUUGACACCAGUGUUGUUUUUCCGAAAAUCAAUUAAAAAUUGAUUCAUGCCAGGUUGUAUUGACCUUAUCAGCUUGCAAUUUGGUUUUGGGUCUCUUUUUGAUGCACUUUUCAGUUAACAAGUCAACAUCAAUUUCCUUUGCUGUAAAAAGGUAAGAGGAAGGUGGCUUCAAUUUCGGUUGAAGUGUUUAUAGCCUUUUAUCUCUGCAGUCGGGGAGAUUGAGGUCUGCAGCGUAGAUCCUUCGGGGCUAGAUACAUUUAUGCUAAGUCAUAGCUUUUCAUAGACAACUUGUUGACUAUGUUUAGUCAUGUAGCUUACUCGUAAGUGCUAUUUUACCUACGCUUAGGAUGUUGAGCGCAUGUCUCUCUCU
Molecule: ribosomal RNA, 774 nt
Filed under: uncultured Neocallimastigales
Lineage: Eukaryota; Fungi; Neocallimastigomycota; Neocallimastigomycetes; Neocallimastigales
Description: partial large subunit ribosomal RNA
Rfam family: Eukaryotic large subunit ribosomal RNA
Source: RNAcentral